CUCCACACUGACCAUCAGCUGCCUGUCUUCAUUUUCAUUCAUUCUUCAUUUUCAUUCAUUCUUCAUUUUCAGAACUAGUCACUGCUCCGUCCCAUCAGGAGGGAAAAACUGACUCCCACAUCCCAUAACACUACCUCCACUUGUCUGAAGCAUUUCUAAAGAUCCUCUCUGGUGGUGCAAAGCUUAGACAUCCUAACAUGAGCUCCAAUGAAAUGAAUGCCUUCUUUAUUCCUGAGAGUAGUGAGGCGGGAAUAAUACAGCAAGAAACUGGACAAUAUCUCUGCUUUCUUAUUAAUUCACAGUGAAAACUUGGAUAGCAACAAUUUAUCAUGUGUUUCCCUGGUAACUACAACAUCGUGAACCUUCCUUGAAAACUCCAUUGGGAUUCCUGCAAUGUUUGUGAGCAUAAUGAAUGAAGCUAUUAUCUAUCUCCAAUGUCACAUGUGAAUGUUCCCUGUGGCUGCAAGAGGAGAGGAGACAUUUCUGGCUAAUUCUGAGGCUGCCUAGAGUUGUGACAAGUGUUUUCUGAGGUUCAGCCUUACCCAGAGAUGCAAGUGGUGCUAUCUCCUCUUUCUAAACAUGUUUCUGGUAAAGAACUUAAAACCUAAGACCAAAAUCUGCCUUCUGUCUUCUGGAGACUGACUGAGUUAUGGAUUUAGAAAUAGUCUAAAUAGUCUAAUAGAGUCUAAAUAGGUUAAGAUUUGUGAGCUUCAGAAUAACACAUCCCAGUGUAUUGAUUUAUUUUAUUUUGUACAGAGGGCAUUUUGUACCUGUUUGUUUUGGCUGUGGUGGCAGCCCUGUCCACAGCUAGUGUUGGAAAUGGGGUUAGU
This 830-nucleotide long non-coding RNA is filed under the name Cyanistes caeruleus (blue tit). Its description in RNAcentral is "lncRNA (ENSCCEG00000018580.1)". Lineage: Eukaryota; Metazoa; Chordata; Aves; Passeriformes; Paridae. The record is from RNAcentral.